GAUUAUGUGAUUUACCAUUUCCAUUCGUUGACGUAAUUAAACAAAUUCAACGAAGAGUGAUUUACCCUUGAGGUUUUUAAGGUUUUUAUAUAACUCCUUCAUAUCAUGAUAAUUACACAAACACCUUUUCAAGUUUCAACACUCCAUGAACAGCCAAAACACUUUUAUCCAAAUCGUAAUAUACCCUCAGUUGAAUACGGUUGAAUACCAUCUCAAAUCUUACACAUUAUUGCCAAAUAGGUCUAGCCAAGUGAAUUGUCAAAAAAUAAAAAAAAUAAAAAAGCCUAUCCCAGUGGAAAAUGACUUUAAUUUGUUGACUAAUAUAGUCUGGGUUCAAAUUCCCCUGACAUCUUGGUGGUGUGUGUGUGAGAAACCCCCUUCUCAUGUAAGUUUCAACAAUCGCUUAGACUAAAAAAGGGUUAUCUACUAAAAAACACUACAAACUAUCACGCUUGUCGAAAUCUCCACCCUGAACUUGUUUUCCUGCCAGUUUAGCCU
Molecule: long non-coding RNA, 498 nt
Filed under: Prunus persica (peach)
Lineage: Eukaryota; Viridiplantae; Streptophyta; Magnoliopsida; Rosales; Rosaceae
Description: long non-coding RNA (PPER_LNC002387)
Source: RNAcentral